This 457-nucleotide ribosomal RNA is filed under the name uncultured bacterium. RNAcentral's name for it is "bacterial SSU rRNA". It matches the Rfam family "Bacterial small subunit ribosomal RNA", at positions 917 to 1382 of the family's 1533-position model. The record is from RNAcentral.
GGACCCGCACAACCAGUGGAGCGUGUGGUUUAAUUCGAGACGAAGCGAAAAACCUCACCAAGGCUUGACAUGCUACCGUACAGUCCUGAUGAAAGUCGGGAUAAUCCGUAAGGAUGGUAGCACAGGUGCUGCAUGGCUGUCGUCAGCUCGUGCCGUGAGGUGUUCCCUUAAGUGGGGAAACGAGUGCAACCCUUGUCUAAUGUUACAUAGUUCAUUAGAGACUGCCCCGUUUUUACGGGGAGGAAGGAAAGGCGGACGUCAAGUCAGCAUGGCCCUUAUGCCUUGGGCUACACACACCCUACAAUGGCGAAGAACAAUGAGUUGCGAGCCGGUAACGGCAAGCUAAUCUCAGAAAUUUCGCCUCAGUUCAGAUAGAGGUCUGCAACUCGACCUCUUGAAGUCGGAAUUGGUAGUAAUCGCGGAUCAGCGGGCCGCGGUGAAUACGUUAUCGGGUCUU